This is a long non-coding RNA of Syngnathus acus (greater pipefish), 164 nucleotides long. RefSeq lists it as uncharacterized. The transcript is spliced from 3 exons. Lineage: Eukaryota; Metazoa; Chordata; Actinopteri; Syngnathiformes; Syngnathidae. The record is from RefSeq and is a predicted model, not a curated record.
AAAAUUUGUUACAAUGUGUAACAGGCACUGUGGCUCAUAGGGGCAUACAGGCAAACUGGCAAAAGGGUAUAGGCACACGUUUGGUCAUAAGGAUCUGAGAGCACGUGUGUGUAGUGUACAUGGGUGAGUCUUUGGGUGUGUGAAUGUGAUUCUUGUGUGUGUGA